AUGUCUAACAUGGACCUUACUCAAAUAGCUGACACAGUAGUUCCAAACUUCAUGAUCAAUGGAGUGAUUCCUGUGUUUAUGGAACACUUCACAAAUGCGUUGAAGUCUCAUGGCACACUUGCUGAAGAGGAUUUCCAAUCUUGGUACUAUGCAUACCUCCUGCUACACCCCUUUGUUAUGUCAUCGAUAGGAAGGGCAAAUCUCCUUAGGAAUCUGUAUUGGCUUCUGGUGGACUUGAAUUUUGAGGAAAACCCGUUCUUUGAUACUGUUUUCAAAGUAGCUCCUUCUUCAAACUGGCGAGAUUUUAUCAAGCAGACCCCUGUGAACUACAUUCUCUGGAAGGUUUUCUGGUACAAGCUGAUACCAAAUUUCAACACCCUUCCUUAUUUCAACUUGUUGGGAAGCAUUAUAAAGUACCAUCGCCAUCUUGUUCAUCAUGGUCCUGACCAUGCCAGGGAUGGCAAGGUGACAACAAUGUCGAGCACAGAUGACAGCGAGUUACUUGCUGCAGCGCAUGACCAGGAUUGCCUCGCAGAGUGCAUCAAGAACCUUCUGCAACAGAAGAAAGUGACCAGCGACGUCAGUGUUGUGCUUGACGCUUACGCUGUGACAUGGGAGCUGUGA
This 624-nucleotide ribosomal RNA is filed under the name Triticum aestivum (bread wheat). RNAcentral describes it as "partial small subunit ribosomal RNA". Lineage: Eukaryota; Viridiplantae; Streptophyta; Magnoliopsida; Poales; Poaceae. The record is from RNAcentral.